This 71-nucleotide transfer RNA is filed under the name Ferruginibacter sp. RNAcentral describes it as "tRNA-Gln". It matches the Rfam family "tRNA". From Rfam's summary of the family: Transfer RNA (tRNA) molecules are approximately 80 nucleotides in length. Their secondary structure includes four short double-helical elements and three loops (D, anti-codon, and T loops). Further hydrogen bonds mediate the characteristic L-shaped molecular structure. tRNAs have two regions of fundamental functional importance: the anti-codon, which is responsible for specific mRNA codon recognition, and the 3' end, to which the tRNAs corresponding amino acid is attached (by aminoacyl-tRNA synthetases). tRNAs cope with the degeneracy of the genetic code in two manners: having more than one tRNA (with a specific anti-codon) for a particular amino acid; and 'wobble' base-pairing, i.e. permitting non-standard base-pairing at the 3rd anti-codon position. The record is from RNAcentral. Lineage: Bacteria; Pseudomonadati; Bacteroidota; Chitinophagia; Chitinophagales; Chitinophagaceae. RNAcentral also lists the same sequence under 3 other names.
UGCCCGAUAGUAUAAUGGUAGUACUGCAGAUUCUGAUUCUGCCUGUCUUGGUUCGAAUCCAGGUCGGGUAA